RNAcentral lists this long non-coding RNA (204 nucleotides) under Zostera marina. RNAcentral describes it as "long non-coding RNA (ZMAR_LNC002545)". The record is from RNAcentral. Lineage: Eukaryota; Viridiplantae; Streptophyta; Magnoliopsida; Alismatales; Zosteraceae.
GACGUCUAUCCCCCUUCUGGGAAUGUCGAACUCAAUUUUCUGUGGAAUGUCGAUCCUGACCUUCUGUUUUGAAGGUUUCGAAUUCCUAGGUAAAUGUCGACGUCUAUCCCCCUUCUGGGAAUGUCGAACUCAAUUUUCUGUGGAAUGUCGAUCCUGACCUUCUGUUUUGAAGGUUUCGAAUUCCUUGGUGAAUGUCGACGUCUA